Non-coding RNA from Pelobates cultripes (western spadefoot toad), 225 nucleotides. The record is from the annotation of a GenBank genome assembly. Lineage: Eukaryota; Metazoa; Chordata; Amphibia; Anura; Pelobatidae.
UGUCGCCAUUAUAGUUGCGCAGGCACUUUGGUGACUCUAGAGAAUCUCGGGCCAAUCGCACAUCCCCGUGACGGCGACGACGCGUUCGUCAUACCAUGGUGACCAUGGGUAACGGGGAAUCAGGGUUCGAUUCCGGAGAGGGAGUCUGAGAAACGGCUACCACAUCCAAGGAAGGCAGCAGGCGCGCAAAUUACCCACUCCCGACGCGGGGAGGUAGUGACGACA